This 69-nucleotide transfer RNA is filed under the name Saurida undosquamis (brushtooth lizardfish). RNAcentral describes it as "tRNA-Ser". The record is from RNAcentral. Lineage: Eukaryota; Metazoa; Chordata; Actinopteri; Aulopiformes; Synodontidae.
GAGAGAGGCCCGACGGCAAUGAAGACUGCUAAUCUUCCAUCCCCAAGGUUAAACCCCUUGGCUCCCUCG